AAAUAAGAUAAACGAUGAUAAUUUUUUCGUCAUAAAGAUUGCCACGCAUGAUUCAAAUCCCCUCUAUUCAAAUUGUAACUAUCGCACUUUCAUAAGAUUCAAAUACAAAUUAAAAUUUGAAUAUUAUGAAAAUGCAACAUUUAGGGGGCAUUUGGAUUAACGAAUCUGUCAAUCCAACGUAAGUCAGGUGCAGUGGUGUUUGAGUUUUCCUAAAGUAUGAUUAUUUUUUUGUUGUUUGUUUUGACGUAACUUGUACAGUCUGACAAUUAAAUUCAAUUACUUCUUCUGUUUAUUUUGAUGUAACUUGGUGUUGGUAAAAUUAGUUUUUUGAGUUCCGUUGUUUGUUUUGAUGUAAGUAAGUUGAUCCCGUUAUCUCCUAAAUAUAGUGAUAAAUUUACCGCUAUAAAAUUUAACCUAUUAUCUAAUUAAAAUUUUUUUAUUAUUUAAAGAUAAUCCUAAUUUAUUAUAAAAAAGAUAAUUCUAACCAAUUAUAAAGAAGUAGAGUUUAGAUUUUACGGUUUAAUAAAUUUUUUAGAGAAGGUUGAGUGUGGCAUAAGUCGAGUUUGACAAUUUAUAGGAGAAAGUCGAGAGUAGGUGAAGUAGAGGUCUAACAUAAUUUGAAUUACACUAUAUUUUUUGACUUAUACCAAAUUAAAUAAUAAAAUUGAUGAAAUUUAAGUUCCAUCAGUCCACUUAAACCAAAACAAA
This 708-nucleotide long non-coding RNA is filed under the name Ananas comosus (pineapple). RNAcentral's name for it is "long non-coding RNA (ACOM_LNC006085)". Lineage: Eukaryota; Viridiplantae; Streptophyta; Magnoliopsida; Poales; Bromeliaceae. The record is from RNAcentral.